Long non-coding RNA from Neopsephotus bourkii (Bourke's parrot), 1323 nucleotides. RefSeq lists it as uncharacterized. The transcript is spliced from 3 exons. The record is from RefSeq and is a predicted model, not a curated record. NCBI's taxonomy places the organism in Eukaryota, Metazoa, Chordata, Aves, Psittaciformes, Psittacidae.
GUAGGAGGAAACGCUGUUCUGCGCUUAAUUCUUUCCACAUUGACUCGCAGCCAGCCAGGGGUCCGGGCAGUGCAUGGCGAGCCCUUCCUCCGGGAGGGAGCUCUGCCUGGCGCGGAUGGCGAGCGACGGCUUUAGCCGGGGGGGCUGGAGCACUCGACGGGAGGAGGCGAUUUAAGGCGGUGGCGGGGGGAGCGACAUAACCCCCGCGAGAGAGGCGAGGAGUCCGACAGGGGCACCCGGGAGCAAUCGCCCAACAGUAACAGUCUGGUCUACUAUUUCCUACAUUCUGGUCUCUGGCAAUCGCUGCAAUGCUUGUCAAAAGUCACCAUUUUAUCACGUCGUUUUCUGCAAAGAGGGUUGAAUACAGUUAAGUGACCUCUACAAAAGACUCCCUCUUUGAAGUGUUCUCUAAAGACAUCUUCAAGGCAGCUGAGUGUCUCAGACUGUGAUUUUGUAAGGUUUUGAUGCUAGAAAAUUGUUUAACAAACAGCUCAAAAAUAUUUAGAUUUUGAUUAAUAACACACAGUCCCGUUGUAUUUAAAUAAUAUAAAGUAUGAAACCUAACAUGUGGCAGAAGAGUAUGUGUUCCACAUGGUUAGGAGAAUAGGAAUGGGGACAUACCAAUAUCUGAGCAGGAAGGAAAUAGUUAUGCAAAGCCAAUUAAACAAUUCUUUAGGAAUAUAUUAAACCGUUGUCUCUACUUACGCCAAAACUUUUCCUCCAACUUUGUGGUUAGAAAGGAUGCUGCUUCAGCAGUGGAGGGAGUUCUGGUUAGCCUUGCUUUGUUCUUCAAAUGACCACAAUGUGUAUGAAUCUGAGAACCCUGGAUUUGGUUAACACUGACUUCCCAGCAGAGAACAGUUUGGGGAUAUUAGCCAAAUUAUUUAGUAUAUGUAGUAUAUGAAUAAUACUAAGGUAACUCAGGAAAAAUAGUUGAGUAUAACCAUCUGGAAGAGAAUGCUGAUACUGAAAUCACAGGGGCUCAGAACCUUUGACCAUAGUUAAAUUCUUGUAUAGUCUCACUAUCUUCUCAAAUCUUGAAACUUUACUCAUAAAAGCAGCUUUACUGUGCCAAAAGAAGUUUUACUCUGUCUAAGGAAGUAAAAUACUACUAUAUGUGGAGUCUUGCCAAUGAAAGGACUUGGGCUGAUGUUAAGAGAUACUGAACUGGCCUACAUAGAAGGGUUAAUUUAAAAAUCCCACUUCAUUUAUACCCUAAUUGCUAGUUAGUAGAUUAGGAUCACACCUAAUCUCAUAGUAAUUAUAUAUUAGCUGUAUAUAUUAGCUCUAGGAUGAGAUCUGAUGUUUGAAAACAAGUAUUUA